Molecule: long non-coding RNA, 1529 nt
Organism: Erpetoichthys calabaricus (reedfish)
Lineage: Eukaryota; Metazoa; Chordata; Cladistia; Polypteriformes; Polypteridae
Exons: 2
Source: RefSeq, a predicted model, not a curated record
CGAUACGAACGUCUUCCUCCUUCAGAGCUCUAAGCAUCUUUAUGAGUUGUCACCACAGUGGAUUUGGGUGAAAAGAGGAGAACUUACUGGGAGGAGGCCGUAACCGCGUUUCCGAAAAAUUGAUUUUGACCAUGUAUAUGGUGGUGAGAAUCAGAUGGAGAUUGAGGCUGCUUUGAAAACCACAGUUAGAUUACUUUUGAUUAUUUUUUGCAUUAAAAUCUACAGGAGUCCAUUCACAGAGAGUGAAAUAUUGAAAGCUCCACUUUCAAACCUAAUACAGUGAUCCCCCGCCUAUCGCAGAAGUUACGUUCCAGACCCACCUGCGAUAGGUGAAAAUCUGCGAUAUAGAAAGACCACAUUUUUUUUAUAGUUUAAGCCUUAAAAUACCCCUCCCACACGCUUUAAACACAUGUAAACUUAUUAAAACACACUUUGGAUACACAUAUGAUACACGGAUGUCAGGCUAAAAAUAUGAGUAACAUAAUAAUAAUCAUCAUCAAUUUUACCUUUUCCUGCAUGGUCAAGGUCUUCCUCUGUUGCUUAGGCUCACUGCUACCAGAAGACUUACAAGAUGCAGGACACUUGGGAGCCAUUGUAGGGCUUAAAACAAAAUGAAAAGUUCACAAACGUUUGCUUAGAAAAGUCGGACCACAAGCAAGGUACGUGAUACGCGAUUCGUCGGGGACCCACGCUCGCUGUUCUUGCGAGAUAACACCACGUUAACAGCAGCUAAUCAGAGCCCAAGAGAAUAAAAUCCGCUCUGAUUGGUUGAGUCUCCUCUUUCAGCCAGUAACGGGCUUUGUAAGAAAUCAUCUGAGUGCUGUAACACGAAACUCUUUGUCUGCUGAAAACCGUAUGCUUUGUUAUGAAUUGGCUGCAAAGUGCACUACAGGUAGGAUGUACUUAUUGAAUUUUUCCGCGAUAUAGCGGGGGCACGAUAGCUGAACCGUGAAAGAGCGGAGGAUUACUGUAUGUCAUUAAAGCGGAAAUUUAAGGAGCGAUAAACUCAUUAGUUUCAUCCUUCUCAUUAGGAUGUUUGGUGUUUUGAUUGUCUCAAUGCAUUAAAAGAAAAUAAGAGCAGGUUGUGGUCAGAACAGAAGAAGAGCAAAGUUGUUAACAGAUGUGGAGCCGACUGACCCUUUGAGAACUUUUACUUUUCAGUUACUUUGACUGUGACAGUCCAACCUUAUUCCUGCAUCUUAGGUGUCUAUGUUUUCAGAAACAAUUUCUACCUUAAGAAAAUGUUUACUGCUCUGAAUUAAAAUGUGAUUAAAAAUAUAUUUCCAAAAUGUCUGUUGUUGUUGAGAUGCUUAAACGCUGUUCUACUUCAUCUAUUAAAACGCUUCUUUUCAUUACUCUCAAUUAUAUGAGAAACAACAAUACGAUAAAGGGGGUCCAGAGUGUGAUGACACUAACAGGAAAUAAUCUCCAGUCCCCUGUCUCUUGUCCUCAAUUUUGGAUCUCACAAAAUAUUCACAACCCAUUUGGAGCAAUAAAACAAGAAAUAAAGAAAUUCUCAUUGGCUCGUA